This 826-nucleotide long non-coding RNA is filed under the name Homo sapiens (human). RNAcentral's name for it is "HSALNT0147541". The record is from RNAcentral. Lineage: Eukaryota; Metazoa; Chordata; Mammalia; Primates; Hominidae.
CAAAAGUGUACUUAUACCUCAUACUAUAUGCCCAGAGUGGGUUGGUAGGGAAGCUCCAGAAAGUUGAUGGAAGCUCCAUCUUUACACAUGCUUCUCGGAUCACCUCAACAGGGAGAAGGGAGAACUCAGGAAUAUUCUGCACCAUUAAGAAUUAGAAUUAAGCGUUAAUUAGAAAUUAAGUACUUAAUUAAGAAUUAGAAUUCAGUAAUUAAGGAGCAUCUUACACCAUUAAGAAUUAAGUGUUCUGGAAAUGAUGGUCCAAUGGUCAGAACUACUAUUCCCCGACACAACAAAGAAAGGGCUAAGAAGUUCAGUUUUUUUACAUGGGUAGAAGGAAAAAAGAACAGAUAUUAGUGAGUAGCACCAAUGCUGAUUACAAUGUGCCCUUGUGGCUACCAACUAUUUGUUCCUCUCUGCUUUCUCUAGGUAAGACACACUCCCUCUCCUGUUUCCUCGAAGGAGACAAUCUCAAACACCUUCCAAUCAUAGCAUCAAGCACACAGUCCAGGAUCCUUGGACUUUGAAGAUGGAAUUAAGGUUUCUGAUCAGCUGACCUGAAAUAGGGAAUAUAUUCAGGAUUUUUCAGGUGGGCUGAAUGUAAUCAUGUGAUCCCUGGAAACAGAAGAGGAAAGUAGAAGAGUCCAACAGAGAGAUAUGGCAGAAUGAGAAAAAAAGCAGAAGAGGUCAGAGAUACUCAAAGCUUGAGAAGGACCUAAACCACUGUUGAUGGCUUUGAAGAUGGAGGAAGGGGAACAUAAGUCAAGGAAUGCAGGUAGAUUUUGGAAGUGAGAAGGACCGCUUACUGACAGCUAGCAAAGAAACUGGG